This 524-nucleotide ribosomal RNA is filed under the name uncultured bacterium. RNAcentral describes it as "partial 16S ribosomal RNA". It matches the Rfam family "Bacterial small subunit ribosomal RNA", at positions 35 to 539 of the family's 1533-position model. The record is from RNAcentral.
AUUGAACGCUGGCGGCAGGCCUAACACAUGCAAGUCGAGCGGAUGAAGGGAGCUUGCUCCUGGAUUCAGCGGCGGACGGGUGAGUAAUGCCUAGGAAUCUGCCUGGUAGUGGGGGAUAACGUCCGGAAACGGGCGCUAAUACCGCAUACGUCCUGAGGGAGAAAGUGGGGGAUCUUCGGACCUCACGCUAUCAGAUGAGCCUAGGUCGGAUUAGCUAGUUGGUGGGGUAAAGGCCUACCAAGGCGACGAUCCGUAACUGGUCUGAGAGGAUGAUCAGUCAAGGGGGAACUGAGACACGGACCGGACUGGGUGAGGAGGCAGCAGUGAAGUGUGAGAGACACUGGACUAAAGCGGGAUGCAGCAGUGUGGCGUGUGUGAAGAUGGUCGGAGGAUUGAAAAGCAAAGUGAGAGGGAGGGAAGAGAAGUAAGUUAAUGCAUUACUGUUUUAAGAUAAAAAAAAGAAUAAGCAAGGGCAAACUUCCGGCCAGCAGCGGCGUUAAUAGACGGCAAAGCACAGUCUGAGG